This 431-nucleotide long non-coding RNA is filed under the name Homo sapiens (human). Its description in RNAcentral is "RAB33B antisense RNA 1". Lineage: Eukaryota; Metazoa; Chordata; Mammalia; Primates; Hominidae. The record is from RNAcentral.
AGACAACUGAGAGGAAGGAGGUACCACGGGCACUCUCUCGCGAGAGGGCCGCAGAGCCGCCUUUGACGGGGGCGUGUACCUGGAGAGCAACGCAGGCAAUCAAGCUGGCUAGGUUCCUGCCACAAGUUCAGACUAGUCUUCUGUAGGAGCCUAUGAGGUUGGUCCUAUUUUUACUCUCACUUAUCCCUACUUACCAGAUGAGGAUCCUGAGGCUCAGAAAAACUCUUGACAAAAUUCUCAGGGAAAACUCUUCAGCUCUGGAUGUCUCCCUUUUUGUGGAUCAAACACAAAGGGCAUCAUUCUAAAAUAUAUACAGAACCAUAAAAGCCCCAAAUAGCCAAAGCAACCCUGAGCAAAAAGAACAAGGCUGGAAGCAUCACACUACCAGACUUCAAAAUUUACUACAAAGCUCUAAUACCUAAAAUAACAUG